UCCCGGUUGCCCGGGCAGUCUCGCGUGAAAAAUUCAACACACGACAAGGGUUGCGCUCGUUGCGGGACUUAACCCAACAUCUCACGACACGAGCUGACGACGGCCAUGCAGCACCUGUCACCUGGCUCCCGAAGGCACGCCCCUGUUUCCAGGGGGUUCCAGGGAUGUCAAGCCUCGGUAAGGUUCUUCGCGUAGCAUCGAAUUAAACCACAUCCUCCACUGCUUGUGCGGGUCCCCGUCAAUUCCUUUGAGUUUUAAUCUUGCGAUCGUACUCCCCAGGCGGCAUAUUUAACGCGUUAGCUACUCAGCACAGAGGGUCGAUACUCCAUACUGAUAAUAUGCAUCGUUUACGGCGUGGACUAC
Molecule: unclassified non-coding RNA, 363 nt
Filed under: uncultured bacterium
Lineage: Bacteria
Description: contains 16S-23S intergenic spacer region
Source: RNAcentral